RNAcentral lists this ribosomal RNA (401 nucleotides) under uncultured bacterium. RNAcentral describes it as "bacterial SSU rRNA". It matches the Rfam family "Bacterial small subunit ribosomal RNA", at positions 359 to 776 of the family's 1533-position model. The record is from RNAcentral.
GAAUCUUGCGCAAUGAGCGAAAGCUUGACGCAGCGACGCCGCGUGCGGGAUGAAGGCCCUCGGGUCGUAAACCGCUUUCAGCAGGGACGAAAUUGACGGUACCUGCCGAAGAAGGCCCGGCCAACUACGUGCCAGCAGCCGCGGUAAUACGUAGGGGCCAAGCGUUGUCCGGAUUUAUUGGGCGUAAAGAGCUCGUAGGCGGUUCGGCAAGUCAACGGUGAAAUCUCCACGCUCAACGUGGAGGGGCCCGUUGAGACUGCUGUGACUCGAGUCCGGUAGGGGAGUGUGGAAUUCCCGGUGUAGCGGUGAAAUGCGCAGAGAUCGGGAGGAACACCCGUAGCGAAGGCGGCACUCUGGGCCGGUACUGACGCUGAGGAGCGAAAGCGUGGGGAGCAAACAGG